Molecule: ribosomal RNA, 269 nt
Filed under: uncultured bacterium
Lineage: Bacteria
Description: partial 16S ribosomal RNA
Rfam family: Bacterial small subunit ribosomal RNA
Source: RNAcentral
AAAAGGCUUAGUGGCGGACGGGUGAGUAACGCGUGGGUAACCUGCCUUACACAGGGGGAUAACACCUGGAAACAGGUGCUAAUACCGCAUAAGCGCACAGGGCCGCAUGGCCCGGUGUGAAAAACUCCGGUGGUGUAAGAUGGACCCGCGUCUGAUUAGCUUGUUGGCGGGGUAGAGGCCCACCAAGGCGACGAUCAGUAGCCGGCCUGAGAGGGUGGACGGCCACAUUGGGACUGAGACACGGCCCAAACUCCUACGGAAGGCAGCAG